AACGAACGCUGGCGGCAUGCCUAACACAUGCAAGUCGAACGAGACCUUCGGGUCUAGUGGCGCACGGGUGCGUAACGCGUGGGAACCUGCCCUUAGGUUCGGAAUACCUCCCCGAAAGGGGUGCUAAUACCGGAUAAUGUCUUCGGACCAAAGAUCUAUCGCCUUUGGAUGGGCCCGCGUUGGAUUAGCCAGUUGGUAGGGUAAAAGCCUACCAAGGCGACGAUCCAUAGCUGGUCUGAGAGGAUGAUCAGCCACACUGGGACUGAGACACGGCCCAGACUCCUACGGGAGGCAGCAGAGGGGAAUAUUGGACGAUGGGCGAAGGCCUGAUCCAGCAAUGCCGCGUAAGUGAUGAAGGCGUUAGGGUUGUAAAGCUCUUUUACCCGGGAUGAUAAUGACAGUACCGGGAGAAUAAGCACCGGCUAACUCCGUG
Molecule: ribosomal RNA, 433 nt
Filed under: uncultured bacterium
Lineage: Bacteria
Description: partial 16S ribosomal RNA
Rfam family: Bacterial small subunit ribosomal RNA
Source: RNAcentral